Molecule: non-coding RNA, 778 nt
Filed under: Odontomantis sp. JZ-2017
Lineage: Eukaryota; Metazoa; Arthropoda; Insecta; Mantodea; Hymenopodidae
Source: RNAcentral
UUUAAUUUGUUCAUUUUAUCAUUAAUUUAUAUGUAAAUUUUUGUUAAUAGAUAUUUCUUAAGGAAAUAUUUUAUUGUUAUGCAGUAGACAAAUUUAUUUAUAUUAAGUUAUUUUAGAUUUAGUAAAUGUUGUGAGGAAUUGGUUAAAGUUGUGCCAGCAUCCGCGGUUAGACAGCAAAUUCAAGUGAACAUUAUUAGUUUUUAAAUAAUUAACAUUAAUUUAUUUAUAUUAAUUGGAUUAUUUUAGGGUGGAAUAUUUAUAAUAAUUUAGUUUAUAUAAUUUUAGUGUGAUUAUUAUGAAAUUGGAAUUAGAAACUAGGAUUAGAUACCCUAUUAUUUUCAUUGUAAAAUUUAUAAGCUUGAGUAUUAAUAGUUAUGAUCUUUAAACUUAAAGAAUUUGGCGGUAUUGUAGUCUAUUUAGAGGAAUCUGUUAUGUAAUCGAUGGUCCACGUUGAACCUUACUUAUAGAAUUUUUUGUAUACCGCUGUUUACGAGAAUAUUUUUAGAUUAUUUUCUAAAUAUAUAAUUAGUUAAUAUUUCAAGUCAAGGUGCAGACAAAUAUAUAAGUUGAAUAAUGGAUUACAAUAAAUUGUAUUUAUUAUGAAUUGUUAUUGUAAUAUAAUUUUGAAGGCGGAUUUAAUUGUAAUUUUAUAAAGAUUAUUAAAAUGAUUAUGGCUCUAUAAUAUGUACACAUCGCCCGUCACUCUCGUUAAUAAGAUGAGAUAAGUCGUAACAAAGUAGGUGUAUCGGAAGAUGUACCUAGAAUGUAUUAGUUUAUU